CCUAGAUUUCACAGAACAGUUGAGCUCAGGCCUGGAAACAGCUACCUUAGAAGACUUGUCAGAAUGCAGACUUACUCCCUAUUCAUCGCCCUAUUGGUCUUGCUAGCAGCCAUAUUCACAAUAGUGUCUGCCAUGCCUUCGCCGGCGCCUACGAUGGGUCCUUUCGACGGAUUCUUCAGGUGGUUCGACAGACUGCUCAAGAACUUCAGAAUGGGCUAGAGGGCGCCUGCUGCUGGUCUUUUCCCCUUUGAAGGAGGGAAGGAUGUUUCCGCUUCCGAGGAGAGAAGGAUGUUUUCCCUUCCGAGGAGAGAAGGAUCUCUCCCCUUCGGAGGAGGGAAGGAUGUUUUCCCUAACGAGGAGAGAAGGAUCGUUCCCCUUCCGAGGAGAGAAGGGGUCUCUCCCCUUCGAAGGAGGGAAGGAUGUUUUCCCUUCCGAGGUGAGAAGGAUGUUUUCCCCUCCGAGGAGAGAAGGAUCUUUCCCCUUCGAAGGAGUUGUAGCAGUCAUUUUCCCCUUAAGAGGAUGGAAUUUUUUUUCCCUUUCCGAGCAGGGAAUACUUUCGCCCCCUUCGGAGUAAGGAAUAUCACAGCUGCCCUAGGGAGGAGGAGGGAAUGGUGCCCCCACAUCCUUCCUUUCUGCAGGAGAUUGCCGUAGGAAUCCUCCAGACCAUCGAGGGAUCCUAAGGAUAUUCUCACAAAUGACGCCCAAAGAUUUGUGUAAAUUUUUGUAAAUACGAUUUUUCUUUUUUAUCUUAUUGCUGUGAGUCAAGUGAGAGAGAGAUAGAGAGAGAGAGAGACUGUCUCUGCCUCUCACUCUUUCUCCCUCUCUCUCUCAGACUCCUGAGAAUCGCUGUCUCUUCUAGUAGUGUUCGUUUUUUACCACAUUUCAUUUUUAAUGUUUAGAUUUUAAGAAGAAAAUAUGUCAGUAUUAUGGCAGAACCUUUCAAAAAAGGGAUCUGAUUUUUGUUUGUGUGACAUAAUUCAUUAUGUCAAUUAAAUUCUGUAAAAGAUGA
Molecule: long non-coding RNA, 1009 nt
Organism: Macrobrachium nipponense
Lineage: Eukaryota; Metazoa; Arthropoda; Malacostraca; Decapoda; Palaemonidae
Exons: 2
Source: RefSeq, a predicted model, not a curated record